Molecule: ribosomal RNA, 512 nt
Filed under: uncultured bacterium
Lineage: Bacteria
Description: partial 16S ribosomal RNA
Rfam family: Bacterial small subunit ribosomal RNA
Source: RNAcentral
GAUGAACGCUGGCGGCGUGCCUAAUACAUGCAAGUCGAACGAAACUUCUUUAUCACCGAGUGCUUGCACUCACCGAUAAAGAGUUGAGUGGCGAACGGGUGAGUAACACGUGGGCAACCUGCCCAAAAGAGGGGGAUAACACUUGGAAACAGGUGCUAAUACCGCAUAACCAUAGUUACCGCAUGGUAACUAUGUAAAAGGUGGCUAUACUACCGCUUUUGGAUGGGCCCGCGGCGCAUUAGCUAGUUGGUAGGGUAAAGGCUUACCAAGGCAAUGAUGCGUAGCCGAAUUGAGAGGUUGAUCGGCCACAUUGGGACUGAGACACGGCCAAAACUCCUACGGGAGGCAGCAGUAGGGAAUCUUCCACAAUGGGCGAAAGCCUGAUGGAGCAACGCCGCGUGGGUGAAGAAGGUCUUCGGAUCGUAAAACCCUGUUGUUAGAGAAGAAAGUGCGUGAGAGUAACUGUUCACGUUUCGACGGUAUCUAACCAGAAAGCCACGGCUAACUACGUG